This 458-nucleotide ribosomal RNA is filed under the name uncultured bacterium. RNAcentral's name for it is "partial 16S ribosomal RNA". It matches the Rfam family "Bacterial small subunit ribosomal RNA", at positions 338 to 795 of the family's 1533-position model. The record is from RNAcentral.
CCUACGGGAGGCAGCAGUGAGGAAUAUUGGUCAAUGGCCGGAAGGCUGAACCAGCCAUGCCGCGUGAAGGUCAGUUCCCUAUGGGCGUUAAACUUCUUUUGUGCGGGAGCAAUAAUGGUCACGUGUGGCCAGACGAGAGUACCUUACGAAUAAGCAUCGGCUAACUCCGUGCCAGCAGCCGCGGUAAUACGGGGGAGGCAAGCGUUAUCCGGCAUUACGGGGUGUAAGGGGUGCGUGGGGGGUUUCUUAAGUCAGAGGGGAAAGGCUACGGCGCAACCGUAUAAAGCCUUUGAUACUGGGAAACUUGAGUGCAGGAGAGGAGAGUGGAAUUCGUGGUGUAGCGGUGAAAUGCGUAGAUAUUAGGAGGAACACCAGUUGCGAAGGCGGCUCUCUAGACUGUAACUGACACUGAGGCACGAAAGCGUGGGGAGCAAACAGGAUUAGAUACCCCAGUAGUC